GAUGAACGCUGGCGGCGUGCCUAACACAUGCAAGUCGAGCGAACAGACGUGCAGGUUGAUCUUAUGCAGUUAGCGCCGGACGGGAGCGUGAAAAGUACAUAACCUACAUAUAAGACUGGGAUAACUACGGGAAACAGGACACCAUAUACGAUAAUAUACUCUACUGUAUGGUUCAAUAGAGAGAGAUGCUUUUGGUGACACUUAUAGCCGGUUCCGUGUCGGAUUAGCUAGUUGGUAAGGUAACGGCUUAUCAAGGCUCCGAUGCGUAGCCGACAUGAGAGGGUGAGCUGGCACACUGGAACUGAGAAACGGUCCAGAGUCCGACGGGAGGCAGCAGUGGGGAAUAUGGGACGAUGGGCGAAAGCUUGACGGAGCAACGCCGCGUGAGUGAUGAAGGUCUUCGGAUUGUAAAACGCUGUUAUUAGGAAAGAACAGAUGUGUAAGUAGCUAUGAACGUCGUGACGGUACCUAAAGAAAAAGCCACGGCUAACUACGUG
Molecule: ribosomal RNA, 497 nt
Filed under: uncultured bacterium
Lineage: Bacteria
Description: partial 16S ribosomal RNA
Rfam family: Bacterial small subunit ribosomal RNA
Source: RNAcentral